CACCACCACCAUAUGAGUACAAAUCUCCUCCUCCACCAUCACCGUCACCUCCCCCCCCUUACCACCACUCCUCUCCACCACCACCUUCGCCAUCUCCUCCUCCACCUUACCACGACUCCUCUCCACCACCACCUUCGCCAUCUCCUCCUCCACCUUACCACGACUCCUCUCCACCACCACCUUCGCCAUCUCCUCCUCCACCUUACCACGACUCCUCUCCACCACCACCUUCGCCAUCUCCUCCUCCACCUUACCACGACUCCUCUCCACCACCACCUUCGCCAUCUCCUCCUCCACCUUACCACGACUCCUCUCCACCACCACCAUAUGAGUACAAAUCUCCUCCUCCACCAUCACCGUCACCUCCCCCACCUUACGAGUACAAGUCUCCUCCUCCUCCUUCACCGUCACCACCGCCACCAUACUACUACAAGUCACCGCCGCCACCAUCACCCUCUCCUCCUCCACCAUACUACUAUAAAUCUCCACCACCACCUUCUCCAUCUCCGCCGCCACCUUACCACUACUCUUCUCCACCACCACCUAAGAAAUCACCUCCACCACCAUACUACUACAAAUCUCCACCACCACCUUCGCCAUCUCCUCCUCCACCUUACCACUACUCCUCUCCACCACCACCUAAAAAAUCACCUCCACCACCAUACUACUAUAAGUCUCCACCACCACCUUCACCAUCUCCUCCACCACCGUACUACUAUAAGUCUCCGCCGCCACCAUCACCCUCUCCUCCACCACCAUACUAUUAUAAAUCCCCACCACCACCUUCACCAUCUCCUCCACCGCCGUACUACUACAAGUCCCCACCACCACCUUCUCCGUCUCCUCCACCACCAUAUUACUACAAAUCUCCACCACCGCCAUCACCAUCACCUCCACCACCAUACUACUACAAAUCUCCACCACCGCCAUCACCAUCAC
RNAcentral lists this long non-coding RNA (939 nucleotides) under Linum usitatissimum (flax). Its description in RNAcentral is "long non-coding RNA (LUSI_LNC005639)". The record is from RNAcentral. Lineage: Eukaryota; Viridiplantae; Streptophyta; Magnoliopsida; Malpighiales; Linaceae.